UGCGAGCGUGACGGCGCGAGCAGGUGCGAAAGCAGGUCAUAGUGAUCCGGUGGUUCUGAAUGGAAGGGCCAUCGCUCAACGGAUAAAAGGUACUCCGGGGAUAACAGGCUGAUACCGCCCAAGAGUUCAUAUCGACGGCGGUGUUUGGCACCUCGAUGUCGGCUCAUCACAUCCUGGGGCUGAAGUAGGUCCCAAGGGUAUGGCUGUUCGCCAUUUAAAGUGGUACGCGAGCUGGGUUUAGAACGUCGUGAGACAGUUCGGUCCCUAUCUGCCGUGGGCGCUGGAGAACUGAGGGGGGCUGCUCCUAGUACGAGAGGACCGGAGUGGACGCAUCACUGGUGUUCGGGUUGUCAUGCCAAUGGCACUGCCCGGUAGCUAAAUGCGGAAGAGAUAAGUGCUGA
RNAcentral lists this ribosomal RNA (401 nucleotides) under Salmonella enterica subsp. enterica. RNAcentral describes it as "partial 23S ribosomal RNA". It matches the Rfam family "Bacterial large subunit ribosomal RNA", at positions 2374 to 2774 of the family's 2925-position model. The record is from RNAcentral. Lineage: Bacteria; Pseudomonadati; Pseudomonadota; Gammaproteobacteria; Enterobacterales; Enterobacteriaceae.